GACGAACGCUGGCGGCGUGCUUAACACAUGCAAGUCGAACGGAAAGGCCCUGCUUUUGUGGGGUGCCCGAGUGGCGAACGGGUGAGUAACACGUGAGUAACCUGCCCUUGACUUUGGGAUAACUUCAGGAAACUGGGGCUAAUACCGGAUAGGAGCUCCCGCUGCAUGGUGGGGGUUGGAAAGUUUCGGCGGUUGGGGAUGGACUCGCGGCUUAUGAGCUUGUUGGUGGGGUAGUGGCUUACCAAGGCUUUGACGGGUAGCCGGCCUGAGAGGGUGACCGGCCACAUUGGGACUGAGGUACGGCCCAGACUGCUACGGGAGGCAGCAGUGGGAAAUAUUGCACAAUGGGCGGAAGCCUGAUGCAGCAACGCCGCGUGCGGGAUGACGGCCUUCGGGUUGUAAACCGCUUUCGCCUGUGACGAAGCGUGAGUGACGGUAAUGGGUAAAGAAGCACCGGCUAACUACGUG
This 468-nucleotide ribosomal RNA is filed under the name uncultured bacterium. Its description in RNAcentral is "partial 16S ribosomal RNA". It matches the Rfam family "Bacterial small subunit ribosomal RNA", at positions 28 to 507 of the family's 1533-position model. The record is from RNAcentral.